AUGAAACUUAAAACAUCCCUCGGUCGUCCGUCAGGAACGCUCAGUUCGGAUGUACUAAUGCAAUUUACACUACGAGAACGAUGCAAGAAUGUAGGGGAACAACCCCAUGCAAAACGUGGUCUAGAGCAUGUAUACCCUCAAACGAGAUCAACCAGUCACAGAUGCAAAUACCCAACAAUCCAUGUUAAUAAACAAACGGACAUUCAGAGCAUCCAAUCGGAUUUAGGAAAUCUGACAUCCCAAACGUCCGCGGACAGCAUUGAACGGCCCCUCAAAAGUCCUUAUGGACAACCAUGCUCCUCAUAUCUAAAUCUUUAA
RNAcentral lists this ribosomal RNA (318 nucleotides) under Triticum aestivum (bread wheat). RNAcentral describes it as "partial small subunit ribosomal RNA". Lineage: Eukaryota; Viridiplantae; Streptophyta; Magnoliopsida; Poales; Poaceae. The record is from RNAcentral.